AGUCGGGGGAAGAAGGAAACAAAAAAAGAGUGAAGAGAAAGGUGACGGGGGAAAUCUGGAAGACAGAAAACAGAAAAGGAAAAAAGGAAAAAGCCGAGAGAAAAGUUGGGGAUUGGUGGCUCAAGAACAAUCGGGGCUGAGGUCUAAGAGAGAACCGAGAGGAUUAGGGAGGAGACGACUGAAAAUCAGGAGAGGAGCGACGGGAGAAAGAGAGGGAGAGAGAGCUUGAAGCCCGAGACAGAGAUAAAGCCAAGGAGGGACGCUGCCAUAGUCUUCAUCGAACUUGUCAUCAGCCGCAUACCUUCAUCGACGGAAAAGGCGAGAGCAGGAGGCUUCAAGAAGAGUUUCUGGUCUGAACAACACUUGAUUUUGUCCUGAUCGCUUCAAAUCGUGGUUUUCGAAAGGCUGAAGGUAAUGUUCUACCUUGUUCAUAAACCCACUAGAAUUAUGAUGCUGGUUUUUGCUUGGCUUCCUCCUUGUACGCCUGAGUUGCAGAAGUUGCGGGCCGUAAAUCCAUUUUUUUGCUUGCCUCUGUUUCCAAGAUCUUGUAGGAAAGCUGAAUCUUACUCUGUUGUUAAAACUGUGUCAACCUUUUGAACGAAUCUGGAAAAAUGCAAGCUAACCCAUGAAGUGCAGAAUUUUUCUUCCUUUUCUAAGUUUCUGUAUGCUACUUUUUUGUGCUUAAGUCCGGGUUUUUUUUAUGUUGUGAGUUGAAGACAAUGCUUGGUAAUAUGGUUGCGUGGGUCAGGUUCUGUUUGUUUGAAGAUUUGUGCAUAAAAACCUGCUGCAACAAGCUUCAAGUUAGCUUGUUGCAGCAGCGUGGAAUUUUCCUCUUGGUUGCCGAAUGCUCUCUGCAAUUUUGCUCUAGCAUUUAUGUGUUUCUCCUUUAUGCUUUCCCCUUUCUUUGUUUGAAACUGGUCCGUGUGUCAUUUGUUUGGGCUGUUAGGAUCCUUAAAAGGUAGAUUCAGAGUCUGCUGCGACAAGCUUCAAGUGUUUGGCUUGUCGCAGCCGUUUUUUUUCCUUGGUUGCUGAAUUUGCAGCAGAUCUGGCAUGUUCGAUGUGAUGUGUUUAUAUUGCUAUGAUGUUCUGGUUCUUGUUUAUUGGAAGUAUGGAUUGUGUGGUCCAUAAACCAGUUAAGAGCUUGACAAAGGUUGAUAUGCGUUUGCAAAAAAAUGAAAAUUGCAGUAAGCUUAAUCAUUGCUGAAGCCGAAGUUUUUUGCCAUUGCAUGCAUGUUUACCAGAAUUUUGCUGAGCUUGGUUUGUUUGGGUUGAGGUGUUUAUGUGGUUAGUUCCUUAGUCUAAAGCUGUGAGGUUGGGAACGAAAUGCAGCUGGUUUCUUUCUUAAGCAAGUUGCAGCAAACUUCAUUCGUUGUUGCUAAAAGUUCUUGGGGCUGGAAUGUUUUUUCAUUUGUUGUACCAGAUUUGCAUACAAAACAUCUUCAUUUUGGCUCUUACAUGUAUGAUGAAUUUGGUAGGAACUUGAAAUUGGACUUUGCUUUGAGAGCUUUGUCUUGUUUUCUUAGAAAAUCUGUCAUGCAAAGUGUAAAGGCUUCAAAGCCUAAGGAAAAUAUUUGCAGAAGCAUUCUUCUACGUGAUUGCAUGGGUUUUGCAUGAAAAUACUUUUGAAUUUUGCCUUUUGAUCCUUCAAGUCCCCUUUGUUGCACUAAGGCACAAUUAUGAACUGAUUCCUUGCAAUUAGGUCCUAAGGAAUUUGCAUUUCAAUUAUUGUUUGGCUUUAUUAUUAUUUUGGGGACCUUUGAAGUUCUUAAGUGUUUCGAUUGAGCUCGAAUGGGUGACUAAUGUUGCAAUUAUUUCUCUCUUACAUGACAAUUUGCCUUGGCAUGUUUUUAUGUGAUUUGUGGACAAUGUUAAUAGAUUUCUAGGACAAAAUCAUGAAAGCUUGGUAACCUGGAAGCAUUGGUGGUCUUGAUUUCGUUUGAUUUAAAUUUUUGCUUAGCUAAAUUUUGUUAUUAAACUUUAAUGAAUAAUUUUCCAUUUUCUCCUUUUCAUCUGAUUGCGAGGGAUCCCACCUUCGACCACUCAAUUUCGUACUCCAUUUUAGACUAUUGAUUUUUUUUAUUUAUUUAGGACCGAGUUUGCCUCCCCCUUGCAUGGUUUAUCCCAUCUUUAAUUAUCAUUUCGUGCUUAAUUUCCACUUUUAUGUUUAAUUCUUGUUUCAUGUAAUUAUUCGAUAAUUUAAGUGGUACCUUGACCUUUUUAUUAUUUUGGAGGGUAAGUUAGUAAUUUCACUACGUUAGGGCGUCGCUUCAAGGGAGGUACACUCUAUCCCUCAUUUGCACUACAUUUGACCUCACGUGCUCCUACGUGUUAUGUGAAUAUGCAUGUCUACUUCGCUUUCCUUACCUCCUUGCAUGCGUUUACUCGCUUUUAAUUUUAUUUAAGUUUUAUGGGGUAUGUGUACACCUCUUGGCUUGUAAUAGAUAGGGCUCGGAGAGCCUUUGGUCCAUUUCCCCUUCCCCUUGGUUGCUUUUAUUUAAGUUUUAUGGGGUAUGUGUACACCUCUUGGCUUGUAAUAGAUAGGGCUCGGAGAGCAUCUGGUCCACUUCCCCUUCCCCUUGCUCGCUUGUUUUUGUUGCUACAUGUUUAAUUGCUUUAUUAGGCUCUUGCAUCUAGUCGAGCAUGCUAAAUGCUAUGUGCUAUGUGUUUACGAGUAUUUUUGCAUGUCUACUUGCUUUCAUAGCCAUGAAUGAAUGGAAUGGGUGAAUGUACGUUUCCGCUAGUCCAACGCUAGUCGGAAUUCAUAGAAUGGGCUAGUCCAACGCUAGACCCUUAGGGAUUUCCCCUCAUUAGCAUAUCAUUUGCUUUUUCACCACAUAUCAUGCAUUUUUCUUAGUUUUAUCACUUGGCAUGCUCCUCGAACCCCCUUUCCCUUCAUGUUAGGAUUUUUGCAUAUCAUGAUAGUUGUAGGGUCCAUUUGCUUGAGGGUCUCCUUCUGAUAAGGGAAACGAGCGAGUGUGGCUACUCGAUAGCCUUAGCACGCUAGUUUUGCCUUCUAAUCAAAGGGAAAAUCGAAGUCGACAAGUUAGGAGUCAUUCCCAUACCCGACCUGAUGCAUUCCCUUAGGUUCAGUCAUUCUCAUUUAUUACUCACUCAUUCUUUUCAAUUCACAUUUUCCUUUCCUUAUUGUUCAUUUUGAUUUCUACUUCACAAAAUUGCAUUUAAUUACACCUAUAUGCACUUAUCACUAUAUUUCAUACACUUGCACACGAACACUUGGAAUUUUCAUACAAUUGCACACGUGCACCUUUUCAUACACUUGCACGCAAACACUUGGAUUUUUAAUUUCUUUCAUACACUUUCACACUUGCACACUUGAGUCUCAUUUGCAUUAAUCGACCUCUAUGAGGUUUUCCUUUGUUGGCCGCCACAAUUCAUGUGGUUUGGGACCAAAAGCCUCACAAGAGACAUCGUAGAAUUUAGGAUUGCAUUUUUCCUUUCCAUUUUGCAUUCAUAUAGUCAUAUCCAAACGUGCGAGCAUACAUUGGGUAGAAAACUAGGAAAGGUAAGGUUAAGUCGCGCAACUAGCCUUGGCUAGGUCAAAUGGGUGCCUUGGAUUCUAUCCUUGCCUUCCCCUUUGUCAAACGUGACCCCCGAACCUUUUUCUUUGGCUUACGUGGAUUAGGAGUCGUUUUAAAAAGGGUUUUACUACUUUGUCUUUAAAAAAACACUUUUUGGGUGACUUGGUACACCCCAAAUCUAUACCAAGUGGCGACUCCGUUUUCAUAUUUAAAAAACCCUUUUUAAAAUUUCAUUUGGCCAAAUCGUCGCUUUCCAAAGUCCCAUGGCCUUUUUACUUUUCAUUUUGCACACGUUCACACCACACAUCACAUCACAUUCGAAUCAAAAAGUGGGGCGCGACAUGUACCACUUUCAAGAUUCACAACUUACAUUACAAAAGAGCACUUAACUUACAAACCCAUCCCACAGUCCGACAUCCUAAACUUUAAGCUUAGGAUACACUACAGAGAUCUAAAGCCUAAUCUCUGAUACCACCUGUGACGACCCCACCUCCCCCUAAGGCGAACCAAAGAGUUUAGUGGACCGCCUGCCCAGCUCUCGCCGGGACUCACUUACUUACUACAUUCCUCAAGUAAAUUACAAGGUACAACUCGAAUAAUACAUCCAAUUCUCCAAAAAUUACAUAUCAUAAACGAAGCGGAAACUAGUUCUAAGCGUAGAAUGUAGAUAUACAUCCGAUUCAAUUCCAAAUAUUUAUACAGGACCAAAAGUACAUAAACCAAAACCAAAAGUACAAACUAAGCAAUUUAUAACUUAAACGAUCGAAUACAGUCGAAAUUGGCCGAAACGGCUGGAAUGGUAACAAAAUAACAAAAAUAAUCCUAAACGGUCCAAAAUGGCUAAAACGGUUGAGAAAUGCACGUGCGUGUGCGCGGAAAUGCAAAGGGUACAACUUGGGUUACACGAUUUUUGACCAUAACUGGAGCCAUAGUCAAUUGCUUCUUAAGCUCUUGGACACUACCUGGACAUAUCAUUUGAGUCGAUAGUACAAGGAAAACGAGUUUACAUUGGUCAUUAUGUUUUUUUUUCCUCAAGGGUACAAGUUCGGCCGAGUCCUAACGUAUAACCCUCGAUAACAAAGCAGUAACGGUCCUCGCUUCAAGUGAUAAUCACUUAACCUUUACUCAGGUUGCAAGUAUAGUUUCCUAGUCCUCGAGUAUAAAUUCGGGCAGCAUGCCCUUUGUGUUUACCUAAUUUUCCAGCCAUUUAGGCUUCAUUAUUUUCCUCAGCCAAAUCCCAAAGUCUCACAUAUCAUAAAUUCAAGUCAAUAGCCAUUCCAUAGGCUCAUAACAUUAUAAGAAUAAGAAUCAAAGUAAUAACAAGUGCAGAAAUACAAUCUAGCAAAAGACAGAUUCGACGUGUGGUUGCGAAAAUAACACAUCCGAGGCUACGCUUAUCGGACUGAGGCACAACUUAUGCCGUUUCGAAGCUAAGACACAGGGCUACAAUGUUCAUGAAGAUCACUUAGUCCAGUUUCUAAUGAAACUUAGUCAAAUCCUCAAUUUACAGAACCAAAACCCAACUAGUCGGCUAUUUAACCACACUGAACUGGAAUGGUCAUAUCUCAGGUUACCAAGAUCCGAUUAAGGUGUUCUUUGAGGCGUUUGAAAGCUAAGUCAGAAUACUACAACUUUCAUGUUUUGGAAAAAAACUAAAACUGAACGGAUCCUAGUGAAUAAUUACCCCCAAACAGACUAACUGUCCACGCGGAACUCUGGUUUAUACCCUAGAACAGCAAGGGUAUUUUCAUCUUUUCACGAGCUACGUUGCUCCGAUUGAGCUGAAAUUUUGUAGGCACCUAUAAAAUAACAUUCUCUACAACUUUCAUGUUUUUACCUAAGGCCCAUUCGGCCUCUAACAAGAAGCUACAAAACCGGACAGAAAGGAAGAAAAAUUUUCCAGAAAUCUGGAAUUUUCAGUUUUCAGGGCAACCUUCCUUGAUUUCUUACUUCCAACACUACCAAAACCUCUUAUAUAACCUUAAUUACAACAUAUAUUAACCAUACACCAAGUUGGGCAGCAAGUCCUGAAACCCUAGUUCAUAAUAUCAAAAGGGAAAAACCUCCAAAACAUGAUAGCAUCCAUGAUUCACCACAAAAUUGAGUUACUAAGCUUAAUUUAAACAAGAUUGAAAGUAAAAUUUAGGAAACUCAUCAUCCUUACCUUGAUUAGAGUCCACCAAGUGUAGCCUUAGCUUUCCCCUUCACAAUCUCACCAACAAUUCACUAACUAAACACUCAAAGGUGAGUUUAAUCGGUUUGGAAAUUUAAUUUGUCACUUGGUUGGUUAGAAUCAAGAAGAAGGAAUUGUUUCUUGCUCUCACUUUCUCUCUCUCUCUUGGUCGACCAGCUGCUGGAAAAAUGAAGAGGAAAGUGCAGAAAAUUGGUUUAAGAAGGCUAGUUGAUCACUUGGCCAAGAAACUCUAGGGUGGCGACACUUGUCGCCGCCACCACCUUUCAUUUUUCUCUUUCCUUUCCUUGUUAUUUUUAACCUCUAUUUUCGGUCAAAGCAGCUGACAAUUAAGAGGAUAUUUUGCUCAAAUAUCAGUAAGCUUGUAUGGUAAGAAAGUGGUGGUCAAGUGGUGCGUUCAAUCGGUAGUGCGCGGGACCCGCCGGUUCGCGCCGUUUUUCUUAAAAACACACGUACUAGGGUUUUUACUUCCUAUUCACUAAUCUUAUCUCAUUGCUCCUAAUCACAUAUUAUUUCUCACUUAAAAGUCACUUUUAAUCACCAAAUUUGAUCCUUGGUCCGUACUGAAAUUUCAUCCGGCGAAAAAUCACAAAACCCUAAUUUGCUCUGUGAGAACCCAUAUUUCCCUAAUAUUUUUUCCUAGGGUUUUUCCCCUUGAUUGCAUGUUUUCUGCAUUUUCUGGCUUAGGAAUAUUUUCUUGGUGGAUUUUAUGAGUAAUUAUAGUUUUUAGAUGAUUUUCCUAGCAUUGGGUAGUUUUUGAAAAAUUACGGAGAGAUUAUGGACGUGAGGCCCACUAGUGUGAAAAGUUCGGAAAAAUUCGGCCAAUUAGGUUAAAUUUCGGAUACUGUGUGAAAUUUAUCGGGUGUUAAAAGAUAAGUAGAGUGUGUGAAAUGAUUGAUGUGAGAGGAAAAAGAAGGGAUAGGAAUGCAUUAAUGGUAGUGACAAGUGUCACCAUCUCAUUGGAUAGGACUUAUGAUUUACUAUUCCAUUUUUUUGACUUUUGACCAAGAGGUUAAAUAUCUUAAAAUUGCUCAAAAAUUACCAUUUCUUACCCCUUGAUGGCCGGCCCUCUCUUGAGCAAAGAAGACAGAAAUUCUUCACCAUUUUAGCUUCCAUUUGGCUCAAUCUUCCAAAAACAAUUGCCUAAACUAGUUUCUACUCCAUAAAAUCCCUCCAUUUGGUGCUAGUGAGUGUUUUGGUGAAGGUUUUUGGAGAAGCUAAGGUGUUCUACAACUUCCUCUCUCUUGUUUGCUUGGUAAGUGGUGAUUGACUAUCCUCCUAUACCUAAUGAUGCUUAAUUUGUGCCUAGUGGUGGCUAAAGUGAUGAUAUUUGUGGUUUAUUUCUUGUUUUUGGAUGAAAUAGUGAAUUUUACAAUUUAUUGGAGAUUUUUCUGGUUUAAUGUGAUCAUGAUGUUGUGGUUGUUUAUGAUGGUUGAUAAUGAGGGGUAAUGACUCUAGUAGGUGUGUUUGAUAGGAAAUUGCAACCAAUUUUGGGUUUGGAUUGAAAUGUGAAAAGUUAGGGUUUCAUAACCCCCUUUUCUGUCCGGUUUUGGAUCAUAUGGUUAGAGGCCGAAUUGGCCUUUGCUUAAAACAUUAAAGUUGUAGGUAUUGAUGUGUUUGAGGUGCCUGUAAAAUUUCAGGUCAUUUGGAGUAGUGUAAAGUGAGAUAUGUUGAUUUUACUGUUGCUGUUCUGGAUUGAUCAGAAUGUGAAAACUGCACUUGUAAUUUACUGUUUUGGCUGGAAUUACUUUGGAUUUGGUUGUUCAGGUCUUCUGAUGAAAUGUAGCUGGAUGUCUUAGCUACCAUAUGCCUUUAGAAUCAAUGCAUUUGGACAUGUAUAGACUGAGUUGGACUAAUUACAGCAUAGUGUGAUUUGUAAACCUGCAAUUACGGUUCUAGUUUGGUAUUCUGCAUUUUUUUACCUAGUUGUGCUAGGAUUUGGACUGAGUGGCCUUCUACAUUGUUGUAGCCCUGUCUUUUAGCUUCGAGAUGGUGGGUCUUACACCCUCAUCCGAUAAGCGUAGCGCAUUUUGUACCAUCACCGCAAAAGGGGGACGAAAACUGUUUUUUUGUUAAGGUCAAGUUAGUGCAUUGCUGUAAUUUCUGGUUAUCUAUGCUACUUGUCUAUGCAUAUGAAACCCUAGUGGGGUUGCGAUUGGCAUUGCUUUAUGACUCGUUAUCGAGUCUCAUUGUAUUUGUUUGCUUGUUCUAGGAGGUAACGGUGGUGCACGACGUUCGUUUAACGACGGUGCAUGAAACAUCACUUUCUUGAGUGGUGAGUAUACUACUCACUUGAAUGUUACAAUGUGGCUUUGCUAUAUGUGAUUUUGAUGCCUUGAAGGCUUAUUUGGCUAUUGGAAUGGAUUGAGGUGAGGGUGUACUUGACCGCCCUCACCCCUUGUGAUACCGUUAAUGACUGUUUACCGCUUCACUGAUAUACUGCACUUGCUAUAUGAGAUAUUGAAUUCACUUCAUGAAAAACUGAUUUGGUGUCGUUUGGACGAGUAUCCAACGGCCUUACUGUACUACUGAGCUCAACCCCGUUGGUAGUCAAUUGAAUCGAGCCGGCGAGGGCUUGGUCGUGAAAAUUGACAUGCCACGGGGACUGUACUGGGGAAUCUUGUAGUAAUGAGACUCUUGAUUCCGGUAAACUCGAGUAUUACCAAAAGCUACUGAUUGGAGUGCGGGCCCGGUUGGGGUAUGUUUGGUGGAAGGGAUGGGAGUGAAGUGGGUUCUACGGUUGGUACUCUUAAUAUUGACGGAGGGUCAAUGAGGUUGGAUCAAGAAUGUAAGCGUGGAAAUGGGCUCUUGAGAGCCGUCCGUAUCCUUUUACCGACUUGUUUUACUUCUUAAUUGUGUACUUGAAAUGAAAGAUUUUGCUUAUGUGAUCUUUGUUGCUUAUGUGGUAGUAACUCACUGGGCUUAAGCUCAUUCCGUUCCAUUUGUUUUCCUUACAGGAAAAUGACCACUUUUGGAAAGGUUAUACUUGUUGGUUGUCAAGUUGAGCUCAUGUAAAUGUAUCUUUUGGAUAGCUCUUCGAAUGAAACCCUAAUGUGUAUUGGGUUCACUUUCUUUUGAUUGGCAAACCGAACAUGUAUAUUCAUAAUGAAUGGUUUUUGAUAUGCCGCUUUGGCUUGAAAAGGUUACUUUUCA
This 8883-nucleotide long non-coding RNA is filed under the name Coffea arabica (coffee). RNAcentral describes it as "long non-coding RNA (CARA_LNC002859)". The record is from RNAcentral. Lineage: Eukaryota; Viridiplantae; Streptophyta; Magnoliopsida; Gentianales; Rubiaceae.